GAAGGGCCCGAGCGUUGCGCGGAAUCAUUGGGCUUAAAGCGUACGCAGGCGGGCGCGCAGGCGUUUUGUGAAAUCCCUCGGCUCAACCGAGGAACUGCUUGACGAACCGCGCGUCUUGAGACAAGUAGGGGCUGUCGGAACGAUAGGUGGAGUGGUGAAAUGCGUUGAUAUCUAUCGGAACGCCGAAGGAGAAAUCAGGCAGCUGGGCUUGUUCUGAUGCUGAGGUACGAAAGCGUGGGGGGAGCGAACGGGAUUAGAUACCCCGGUAGUCCACGCCGUAAACGAUGUGCACUAGAUCGAGGGGGUUUCUGACGCCGCUCUCGGUCGAAGCAAAAGUGUUAAGUGCACCGCCUGGGAGUACGGUCGCAAGGCUA
This 374-nucleotide ribosomal RNA is filed under the name uncultured organism. RNAcentral's name for it is "partial 16S ribosomal RNA". It matches the Rfam family "Bacterial small subunit ribosomal RNA", at positions 527 to 896 of the family's 1533-position model. The record is from RNAcentral.